GGAGGGUGCGAGCGUUGUUCGGAAUCACUGGGCGUAAAGCGCGUGUAGGCGGCCUCUUCAGUCUGGUGUGAAAGCCCGGGGCUUACCCCCGGAAGUGCAUUGGAUACUGGGAGGCUGGAGUACCGGAGAGGAGGGUGGAAUUCCUGGUGUAGCGGUGAAAUGCGUAGAUAUCAGGAGGAACACCGGUGGCGAAGGCGGCCCUCUGGACGGAUACUGACGCUGAGACGCGAAAGCGUGGGGAGCAAACAGGAUUAGAUACCCUGGUAGUCCACGCCGUAAACGAUGGGCACUAGGUGUUCGGGGUAUUGACCCCCUGAGUGCCGCAGCUAACGCAUUAAGUGCCCCGCCUGGGGAAUACGGCCGCAAGGUUA
This 371-nucleotide ribosomal RNA is filed under the name uncultured bacterium. RNAcentral describes it as "bacterial SSU rRNA". It matches the Rfam family "Bacterial small subunit ribosomal RNA", at positions 527 to 896 of the family's 1533-position model. The record is from RNAcentral.